This 468-nucleotide ribosomal RNA is filed under the name uncultured bacterium. Its description in RNAcentral is "partial 16S ribosomal RNA". It matches the Rfam family "Bacterial small subunit ribosomal RNA", at positions 28 to 507 of the family's 1533-position model. The record is from RNAcentral.
GACGAACGCUGGCGGCGUGCUUAACACAUGCAAGUCGAACGGAAAGGCCCUGCUGUUGUGGGGUGCUCGAGUGGCGAACGGGUGAGUAACACGUGAGUAACCUGCCCUUGACUUUGGGAUAACUUAAGGAAACGGGGGCAAAUACCGGAUAGGAGCUCCUGCGGCAUGGUGGGGGUGGGAAAGUUUCGGCGGUUGGGGAUGGACUCGCGGCUUAUCAGCUUGUGGGUGGGGUAGUGGCUUACCAAGGCUUUGACGGGUAGCCGGCCUGAGAGGGUGACCGGCCACAUUGGGACUGAGAUACGGCCCAGACUCCUACGGGAGGCAGCAGUGGGGAAUAUUGCACAAUGGGCGGAAGCCUGAUGCAGCAACGCCGCGUGCGGGAUGACGGCCUUCGGGUUGUAAACCGCUUUCGCCUGUGACGAAGCGUGAGUGACGGUAAUGGGUAAAGAAGCACCGGCUAACUACGUG